Non-coding RNA from Erythranthe guttata (spotted monkey flower), 566 nucleotides. Lineage: Eukaryota; Viridiplantae; Streptophyta; Magnoliopsida; Lamiales; Phrymaceae. The record is from RefSeq and is a predicted model, not a curated record.
UCAGCUGCAAACCACUACACUCCCCCACCUCUUCAGUAUCAGAAAUCUCCCUCCAAUAAUCAAAAAACCCUAGCUCUCUCUACCCAGAAUCCUUAGCAUUAAGCAGCAAAUUUGUCAAUGGAGUCGAUUCGGAGUUCAAUCAAAAGCGAGGUGGCCUUGUGCGCAUGGUAUGCGAGAUUAUCAAACGAUGCCGGUUUUGCGAAGACAGUCCUCAGGUUCCGUUUGACGCGUUGAUGCAAAUCUAUCGUCGAUUCAGCCAAUUGCAUCUCGGCUGGCACUCGGCGGCGGCGGCGGCGGCGGCGUGGAGUUGGAGCUGGAGAAACUAGAAAGUCUACGAGGUGAAUGAACAUGGGCCAGAUUUUUUAAGCAGAGGAGAACUGAAGCAGUUUGAAGAAGAUUGUACUGUGAAUUAUUGACAAGUAUGGGUGUUUUAUAUUUUACCAUACUAAGAAUGUGCAUGAAGUUGAGGAGCUAGAUUUACUUGUUUUGGCUAAUGUUUUACAAAUUUGCCCUUUUUCCCCGAUUAUCCAUUAAUUUGAUAUGAUAGCAUAAUAUUUGUGGGUCGA